ACAGGACACAAAACCCCACUUUCUGCACAAAUUAAAUAACACAUUUAUAAGGGCAAUAAAUUCUGCAUUCAACUCCUCGAAACCUCUACAUAUAGUGAUCCUCUAAUGGUUCACUCACUCAAUACAAACGAAAUUGGUACAAAACAAAAUGCUACUGUUUCUCCGGCUGAUGAUGCAGUUGUUGUGAUGCGUCAAAGCACUGCUCCAACUGCUCGAUAAUUAUUCUCGCUGUUACCGCCAGCAACUGCUUCUUUUGUUAGAUCUCAAAGACUGAGUUAGUGGUUGGAAAAGGUUUAAUUAACAAGAUGUGCAAAAGAAAGUGUCCAGGUCGAGAAUUGAAGCUGCCAAGCAGGCCCACAUCGGCGGAGUUAUCAUCGUCGACAUCAUCAGGUGAGUGGCCGGAAUUAUCAUCGUCAUCGUCUGCAUCUUCGGUAUCAUGUACAUCAAAGAUGCCGAAGGAGUCAGAAGAAGAGAACGAGCAACGUGAAAAUUCUACUCCAGAAACAAAGGCCAUGGAUCUCGUUGGUUGUCCUCGAUGCUUCAUGUACGUCAUGUUAUCCGAGGUGGAUCCAAAGUGCCCUAAGUGCAAGACCACAGUGUUUCUUGAACUUUUCAAAGAUGAAAACUUGAAGACUAACAGUUGAGUUAUGGGGAGAAUUAUGGGAAUUAAAUAAAUAAAAUCCUCGUGGUUUUAGGACGUUUGUUUGUUUGUGCUUAUUUUGUUUGUAAAAUCUGAAGCUUCAUAUCUUGUUGAGAGUGAAGUAAAGAUUAUGGGAGCUAGUAUAUGGUAGUGUAACGCGAUGCCACACUAUAUGGGUACGGAACGAGGAAUCGUGGUAGUAAUAAGAUGCGCCUAUUUUUUUUCUUUAUGUAUUUUUCUUAUUUCUCUAAUUUCCAAAUAUACACUAGCCUUAGGUUAGGUAUCCAUAUAAUGUUAAGCUUUUUUAAAUGCCAA
Long non-coding RNA from Glycine soja, 955 nucleotides. RefSeq lists it as uncharacterized. NCBI's taxonomy places the organism in Eukaryota, Viridiplantae, Streptophyta, Magnoliopsida, Fabales, Fabaceae. The transcript has 2 exons. The record is from RefSeq and is a predicted model, not a curated record.